GGAUCUUGGUUCAAACAUGUAAGAUACAGCUUGCCGGGGUAGUCUGAACACCUGCAGAGAGGAACAUCUGAAGAGUUGUUGAGGUUCGGAGACCACUUGAUCUAAAAGUAGUGGGGAGCUGUGAGAACAGCACUGAUGGCGGCGCUAACAAUGAGGGGAAUGUAAGGAUGUGGUUUGCUCUCAAGAAGGUUAGAAAGAAAGUAGGAGGGGGAAGGAGGAGAGAGAGGUGGGCUGCUGGUAUGCAGAACAGUAGGAACUAAAGCGCAGUGAAAGGAAAUAGCUGAGGCUGUAAAAAGUGAAAAAGGUUACCGAGAACUGAAGAAAUCAGAGAUGAGAUAAUGUGGCUGAAUGGAGAACUGCCCAAGCUUCUUGCUUCUCGUUUCUGCAGUUCACCCUGUGUCAACCUCUAGCAGCACGGGAGGUUAUAUGGACAAUUUGUUCUGAUCCUUUUGCCUGCAAACAUCACUUCCCAGACCAGAAAUUAACGGAUCAACAGAAAAGUGGCUUCAUCAGAAUACCCACAAAGACCAUGCUGUUACAAGAGCCCCCAGCCAGAAGGAAUGUACACCAUAGUGAUUUGGAGGACGUCCAGCAAGUCCAAGAGCACGUCGGAAGACUGUUAAGAACUCUCUCUUUGUGACAGGCCUACUAUCCAAAUGCACAAAGAGAGGACCUUCUCCUUGUGGCCGUGCCGCCACAUAGACACGGAGAGCUUCAACAGGACAGAUCCACAUCUCUCUAGAAAGUCCCAGUUGGACCAAAGACCUUUCUUGACCUAUUUGAGAUGUAUGCAAGCAAAGGUUUGCACUCCAGCCAGUCAGCUGGAGAUCACUCAAGUACAAGAGCUUUGGCUGCACUACAUUUCUCUGAUUUGCCACUAUUUCUUCUGUGUGUAGUGCCCCCCAAAAAGCGACAGUAAAUAAGGCACGGAACAAUAUACACUCAUAAGGAGAGCUACACACAGACUCCAGAGUUCCCAGGAGAGAUCUUAACACUUCAAUUGUUACAGGAGAGUAUUUAUCUUUUGAAAGGGCAGUCCUACGUUUCAAUCUUGAUAUCACGUGACAGAUGGCGGGGUCUUGAAGAGGAUCAGGAUGAUCUACCAUUUUGGAGAUGAAGGAUAGUCCUUCCAAGUACUUUAUUAUUUUUGUGAGAGGCAGAUCCUGGGACUCCAUGAUGACCAAGAACCCUUUCACUUGACUCACUGGAACUGGCCAAACUGCAGGCAGUGCCAUGCAUUCUCUAAAGGCAAGAAACUUCUUCAGGCCCUCGCAGUAGAGCUGCCAUUGGCGGUUACUUCCUGAGCCCUCCAGUAACAUAAGAGUCUUCAGGGGCCAAGGACCCAAGGGAUGCUUCUCAGAAACACAGCUGAGUUCAUCUGCAGAGAGAAACCUACAUUAGCAAUGGCAAGCAAGGCAGUCUCACAGACAAGCAGACAAAAGCUUCUUUCCUUACAGCACCCUGCAGCCAUUGCUUGAGCUUCUCCGGGAAAAAAUAACAACAACACAAAAACUCUACAAGAGUGUCCCUUGCAUUUUUAUGACUCUCAUGUGUAGAGCCAUAAGGAUGGAAGGUUAAGUGUAAGAACAGCCCAUGACUUUUCUCCUUAGAGCAAUGCUCCAAGCCUGGUGAGGGACCCAGAACUGCACCCCAGGGUUCUGCAACCCCAGCCCGAGAUGAACAAACACAAGGGUCUGGAAGUGACAGAAAUACAUAUUACAAAUAAAUUCUUAGUGCAUGCAGCUCCCACCAGGCUUCCUACACAGGGGUCAGAGCCCAAGGAAAGAGCAUGCCAGCCUCCCACUUACCUUGGCCACCGCAUGCAGCCCCCCGUGCCCAGACCCCUCAGAGCCACACAUACCCACUCUGUCCCCACCACCAGGCUCCUGGCCGCUCGAACCCAGCGAUCCAGCGCAGCCAUUCGGACAACGCAGCAGCCACUCCAUACCGGGUUCUCGUCCCAGCAAGGCGAGGAGCUCCCAGAACGACGAAGGGCUGGCGGCAGCCGGCUCGACCCCGAUCUCAGAGCGCCACAUCACCAACAAAGCGACGCCCCCAACGCUACAAGCACGAAGCAGCACCACGACGUCCCCGUUCCACCUUUAUGUACCCUGGCCCGACCUCUCGGCCAAUGAGAGGGACCGUCUCUCAGCCGUGCCCUUCUCUCAGCCAAUCGCGGAGCCCGU
This is a long non-coding RNA of Gallus gallus (chicken), 2186 nucleotides long. The record is from Ensembl. Lineage: Eukaryota; Metazoa; Chordata; Aves; Galliformes; Phasianidae.